RNAcentral lists this unclassified non-coding RNA (312 nucleotides) under plant metagenome. Its description in RNAcentral is "partial contains 5.8S ribosomal RNA, internal transcribed spacer 2, and large subunit ribosomal RNA". The stretch from base 1 to 105 matches the Rfam family "5.8S ribosomal RNA", at positions 50 to 154 of the family's 154-position model. The record is from RNAcentral.
GAAAUGCGAUAAUUAAUGUGAAUUGCAGAAUUCAGUGAAUCAUCGAGUCUUUGAACGCACAUUGCGCCCCCUGGUAUUCCGGGGGGCAUGCCUGUCCGAGCGUCAUUGCUGCCCUCAAGCACGGCUUGUGUGUUGGGCUUCCGUCCCUGGCAACGGGGACGGGCCCAAAAGGCAGUGGCGGCACCAUGUCUGGUCCUCGAGCGUAUGGGGCUUUGUCACCCGCUCCCGUAGGUCCAGCUGGCAGCUAGCCUCAACCAAUCUUUUUAACCAGGUUGACCUCGGAUCAGGUAGGGAUACCCGCUGAACUUAAGC